RNAcentral lists this ribosomal RNA (500 nucleotides) under Antipodochlora braueri. RNAcentral describes it as "partial 16S ribosomal RNA". It matches the Rfam family "Bacterial large subunit ribosomal RNA", at positions 1816 to 2587 of the family's 2925-position model. The record is from RNAcentral. Lineage: Eukaryota; Metazoa; Arthropoda; Insecta; Odonata; Corduliidae.
CAUGUCCUUUUGCAAAUUAAUAGAAGGUCUGACCUGCCCAGUGAUUUAUUUAACGGCCGCGGUAUACUGACCGUGCAAAGGUAGCAUAAUCAUUAGUCUUUUAAAAGAGGGCUGGAAUGAAAGGUUUGACGAAGUAUUAACUGUCUCAUUUUAUUUGAAUUUAAAAUUUAACUUUUGAGUCAAAAGGCUUAAAUUUAAUUGGAAGACGAGAAGACCCUAUAGAGCUUUAUAAUAACAAUUUAAAAUUUUAUAUAUAAUUUUAUUUUAAAAACCUUAUUAUUUUGUUGGGGUGACAAAAAAAUAAAAUUAACUUUUUUAGUUAUUUAACAUUAAUAUAUGAUUAUUAGAUCCAUUCAUAUUGAUUAUUAGAUUAAGUUACCUUAGGGAUAACAGCGUAAUCCUCCUCCAGAGUUCAUAUUUACAGGUAGGGCUUGCGACCUCGAUGUUGGAUUAAGAUAAUAAUUAGGUGCAGCCACUUAAUUUAUAGGUCUGUUCGACCU